UAUCUCCCCUCCCCCGCUCCCUCUGUCUCCCUCUCUCCCUCCCCUCUCCCCUCUCCCAUGAGAGGACACAGCCAGAAGGAGACCGUCUGCAAGCCAAGGAGAGAAGCCUCACCAGCCAUGGAAUCUAUAGGCACCUUGAUGUUGGACUUCCAGCCUCCAGAGCUAUGGAAGCCAACCGUCGGGAGCACACACACCACAUUACAAGGAUCCCAGCCAGGCCCAGGAGGGGAAGCAAGGACACCCUAGAGGCAGAGAGAACUGGCAGGUAGCACCGUGGGGGAUGAGAGCGGGUUGGAAUCUAGAUCCUUCUUGAGAAAGGAGGACGCUGGAGGGUGGGAUGUGAAAACUGGGGGAGAGAAGACUCAGAGGUCACUGGAGGUCUGAACAAGUGCAAGGAUAGAGGUGCCCCGAGCUGACACGGGUGGCCUGGGCAGGGGCCGGUGUGUUGGGGGAGAUCCUGGGGUCUGGAGGCCAGGGGUCGGGCCAUGAGGCCGUACCGGCAAAGGCGGUGCGGGCCCUGAAACCAGGCGAAGACAGAGCUGGCGGGAGGCAGCGGCCCCAAAGUCAGGACCGAGGAGGGCCGGGCUGACUGCCAAGGAAGGCCGGGCUGGCUGCCAAGGUCAACCAGGUGGAGGCCUUCGGGGUUCGGCAAGAGCAGUUCUGUGAGCUGGCGGAGCCUGGCGUCUGCCUGCGUGACGUGGAGGAACCGCAGGCGGCGACCGCGGACAGAAUGUCCUCCUGAGUCCUCAUACAACCUAUCCUUAGGCGGUAACAGGCUGCAGCUGUUGAAGUCUAAUUUCACUCUAUUGAUUGCCAUGUAAGACAUGCCUGUGCCUGCUUCCCCUUUGCCUUCUGCCAUGACUGAAAGUUUCCUAAGGCCUCCUCAGAAGCCGAGCAGAUGCCAGCAUCAUGCUUCCUCUAAAGCCUGUGGAACCAUGAGCCAAAUGAAGUCUUGCUCUACCAUCCAGGCUGGAGUGAAGUGGCAUGAUCUCAGCUCACUGGAAUGUCCACCUCCUAGGUUCAAGUGAUUCUCCUGCCUCAGCCUCCCAAGUGGCUGGGAUUACAGGAUUUUUCAUGGGCCGAUCUGCUGAAUUCAGCCUAGGAGCUGAGACCAACAUCUGAGUCUCUUCAGCACACAAGUUUGAAAGAAGUCCUAGCAACUUCAAGCUCAGAACUACGGGUGGCAGCAGCUCCCUCUUGACGUCGAAGCCUCCCAUUCCAGAGAGAGUCAAGGCCUGGAUCAAACAAAGCCCACAAGCACCGAUGACUGAGCUGCUGACUACCCCCAGCAUCUCCAACUCAACCUCCUCUUUCUGCCUCUACCCAAAUUUUAAAACUUUCAAACAUGGGUUUAAAAAUGGUAAUGAGUAAAGUUGCAUCCAAGUGUAUCAAAUAAAAC
Molecule: long non-coding RNA, 1399 nt
Filed under: Homo sapiens (human)
Lineage: Eukaryota; Metazoa; Chordata; Mammalia; Primates; Hominidae
Description: HSALNT0353416
Source: RNAcentral